Molecule: ribosomal RNA, 274 nt
Filed under: uncultured bacterium
Lineage: Bacteria
Description: partial 16S ribosomal RNA
Rfam family: Bacterial small subunit ribosomal RNA
Source: RNAcentral
AUACGGAGGGUGCGAGCGUUACUCGGAGUCACUGGGCGUAAAGCGUCCGUAGGCGGUCGGGUAAGUCGGGUGUGAAAGCCCCGGGCUCAACCUGGGAAGUGCACCCGAUACUGCUCGACUCGAGUGCGGGAGAGGAUGGCGGAAUUCCCGGUGUAGCGGUGAAAUGCGCAGAGAUCGGGAGGAACACCAGUGGCGAAGGCGGCCAUCUGGCCCGCAACUGACGCUGAGGGACGAAAGCGUGGGGAGCAAACAGGAUUAGAUACCCUAGUAGUCC